This 460-nucleotide ribosomal RNA is filed under the name uncultured bacterium. RNAcentral's name for it is "partial 16S ribosomal RNA". It matches the Rfam family "Bacterial small subunit ribosomal RNA", at positions 338 to 795 of the family's 1533-position model. The record is from RNAcentral.
CCUACGGGCGGCAGCAGUGAGGAAUAUUGGUCAAUGUACGAGAGUCUGAACCAGCCAAGUAGCGUGAAGGAUGACUGCCCUAUGGGUUGUAAACUUCUUUUAUAAAGGAAUAAAACGAGGCACGUGUGCCUUUUUGCAUGUACUUUAUGAAUAAGGAUCGGCUAACUCCGUGCCAGCAGCCGCGGUACUACGGAGGAUCCGAGCGUUAUCCGGAUUUCUUGGGUUUAAAGGGAGCGUAGAUGGGUUGUUAAGUCAGUUGUGAAAGUUUGCGGCUCAACCGUAAAAUUGCAAUUGAUACUGGCAGUCUUGAGUACAGUUGAGGUAGGCGGAAUUCGUGGUGUAGCGGUGAAAUGCUUAGAUAUCACGAAGAACCCCGAUUGCGAAGGCAGCUUACUAAACUGUGACUGACAUUGAUGCUCGAAAGUGUGGGUAUCAAACAGGAUUAGAUACCCUAGUAGUC